UACGGGGGGGGCAAGCGUUGUUCGGAAUUACUGGGCGUAAAGGGCUCGUAGGCGGCCCUCUCAGUCGGAUGUGAAAUCCCUCAGCUUAACUGGGGAACUGCGUCUGAUACUGGAUGGCUUGGAUUCGGGAGAGGAAUGCGGAAUUCCAGGUGUAGCGGUGAAAUGCGUAGAUAUCUGGAGGAACACCGGUGGCGAAGGCGGCAUUCUGGACCGACAUUGACGCUGAGGAGCGAAAGCCAGGGGAGCAAACGGG
This 253-nucleotide ribosomal RNA is filed under the name uncultured bacterium. RNAcentral's name for it is "partial 16S ribosomal RNA". It matches the Rfam family "Bacterial small subunit ribosomal RNA", at positions 524 to 776 of the family's 1533-position model. The record is from RNAcentral.